GUGCCAGCACCCGCGGUAAUACGUAGGGGGCAAGCGUUGUCCGGAAUUAUUGGGCGUAAAGCGCGCGCAGGCGGUUCCUUAAGUCUGAUGUGAAAGGCCACAGCUCAACUGUGGAGGGCCAUUGGAAACUGGGGAACUUGGGGACAGAAGAGGAGAGCGGAACUCCACGUGUAGCGGUGAAAUGCGUAGAUAUGUGGAGGAACACCAGUGGCGAAGGCGGCUCUCUGGUCUGUAACUGACGCUGAGGCGCGAAAGCAUGGGUAGCGAACAGGAUUAGAAACCCCCGUAGUCC
RNAcentral lists this ribosomal RNA (292 nucleotides) under uncultured prokaryote. RNAcentral's name for it is "partial 16S ribosomal RNA". It matches the Rfam family "Bacterial small subunit ribosomal RNA", at positions 505 to 796 of the family's 1533-position model. The record is from RNAcentral.